This 1188-nucleotide unclassified non-coding RNA is filed under the name Leishmania donovani. RNAcentral's name for it is "gene:unknown". The record is from RNAcentral. Lineage: Eukaryota; Euglenozoa; Kinetoplastea; Trypanosomatida; Trypanosomatidae.
GUUUUAAAAUGUCAUCUUAGGUUUUUCUUCCGUCUCCAGCUCUAUACACCAAUGCGCCCCGCCCGCCUCCCUCCGCCCUCUGUGAUAAUCCGACUCUUUCCUCCGUCGCACGGAAAAAGGUGGCGGGCAGAUGGGAGGCGGGUGAAACACUCUGCUUUUUGGUACCCUCUGCGCUGAUAUAUCGUAAUGGGAGGUGCUAGCUCGUGUAUGUAUGUGCGGACGCGCAUGCGUGCGUGUCUCUUUCCAGGACACCUCGAUUGAUGGCAACGUCUUCUGCUUUCAUAUUUUCUUCCGUAUAUCCCUAUUACCAACGCUGCUGCUGCUGCUGCGCCUGCUACGAGCACCUUCUCAUGACCUCGUUUUGCUCUUUUCGGCGUCCCUGUUCUGGGGUUUGUUUCCGCUUCGUCUCCUCAUCGAGUCACUCCGCGCGCACGCUCUCGCCCUCGCUGGGUGGCACAUCGGACACUUUAUCAUCGUCUUCAUUUCUUUUUCUGCUUUGUCUUUCCUGAAACCCCCUCGCUCGCUGUCGCUCCCUGUGUGCGUGGGCAGUACGCGCCGCGACCCACCUCUCCGCUCUCUCGCGAGAGAGCGGGGGCGAAGGUCUUUGCUCCCUGUUAACAAGACACAUAAAAUGAGAAGACUUGUUGUUCGCGCUGUGUGCGUGUGUGUGUGUGUGCGUCCGCGUUUAGUAGGUGGGCUUGUGCUCGCGCUUGACAUAUUGCCCAUUGCUUAUUUUUGGGCUUGACUGUGGCGUACGACGUAACGGUAAGCAAAGGAAGUGCAGACGGAACACACGACAGUGACGAACUUCGUAUGCGCGUGUGCUGUGAUCAGGAGGGAGUGGGGGGGGAGGGCAGCAUGACGCAAAGCAGUUGCAACUCUUGUAUAGCGCUGCCCCGGUCGAUCCGGGGGAUGUUUACGAGAUGGGGUUUACUUGCAACUGGUGGUGGUUGCUCAACGGCUUUUUUUCUUUUUGCCCUCUGCACUCUGAGGCCGGUGCGCUGACCGUUCACGUUUGAGCAGUGCCUCGUUCUAUCUUUAUGCGCGUGAGUGUGUUUCGUCAAGAGCGCUCAUACUCCUCCUUCUCAUUUUUCUCUUCUCCCUUCUCUCGUGGCUUAACCAUCCGGCCUCAUCACGGACUCAUUCCGUGAGCCGCACUGCCAUCCUCGCCUACAUACUGGUGCAAAG